UUGAUGGCCCUGGAGACUGGAGACCUGUAUUUAUCCACAGAACAAAUUCUGCACCUGCAGCAGUGAUGAAAGCUUGCUCACACUGCCCUGCCACUGUGCCUCCCUCUGUCCUGACUGGAGCACUUCUGAAGGUUCAGUUUCCAAACUGAACUUGGACUUGAACUUGG
Molecule: small RNA, 167 nt
Filed under: Chrysemys picta bellii (western painted turtle)
Lineage: Eukaryota; Metazoa; Chordata; Testudines; Emydidae
Description: TUC338 (ENSCPBG00000007713.1)
Source: RNAcentral